This is a long non-coding RNA of Carassius auratus (goldfish), 1068 nucleotides long. RefSeq lists it as uncharacterized. The transcript is spliced from 6 exons. The record is from RefSeq and is a predicted model, not a curated record. Lineage: Eukaryota; Metazoa; Chordata; Actinopteri; Cypriniformes; Cyprinidae.
CCCUGUGUUGUAGCUUGACCGGGGCUAGUUGUCACAUGGGAAUGAGUUAGGCUAGUAGACUGUGACAACUUACCCCAUUAAGUGUGACGUGUUUCUAAAAUGUUAUCUUGAUGUGAUUCAGCCUCCUCUUGGCCUCAUAUAUGUUCACUAGGCUCUGCUUCAGAAAUGAUUUUGACAGAAUCAGUCUAAUAGAUCUGAUUUCAGGAGAUCGACUCGUCUCGUAACGCUCUUAUGUGGACACCCUUAACGAUGAAAGCAGGCCGGGAUCAAAGAAAGCUCAUAAUGGCGUGUGGCAUGAAGCAGUGUGCACUACAAAGCAGUGCACUAAUAAGGGAAGUGGAGAAGAGCUCUUGACGGUGGCAGAUGUGCACGAGAGCCUCUUCACACAAACGCACCUCGCUGCACUGAAUAUUAAUCAGACGCUCGAUGACCAGCAGUUAUUAAAGAGCAUCUCAUCAGAAGAAAUCACGUCAAAUGGGUUUGUAACAUCAUGAGAACAGGUUUCCUUGACAGGAGAUGGUGUUUAUGCAUCCAGAAAAGCCACUCUUGAUCUGGGAUCAUCUAGAGACUGAUGGUGUUGCUUCUUUUGCACGCUAAGAAGUGCUUCUGGCUCUCAGCGCGGCCGCUGCGGAUCCAGGUGUGAACACAGUCUAUGGUUUGGCAGAUUCCCCCUCAGUCGCCCUGUUUGGACCAGAACUCGGAGAGGAAAGACUCAUCAGACGCAGCGUGAAAUCCACAGUAUUCCCAGAGUUUGAAGACUCCGAUGAAGGCUUUGAUGAUUGUUUGCUACGUCUUCAUCAUCAUGUGCAACUCUAUUGCCAUGGGAACUGAUGAUGCAGACGAGAGAAGGCCUCUAAUUGGUUCGGUCGGUUCCAGCAGCUUCUUGGACCACGGCGACUAGUUUUGAAGCUGUCUUGAUGUGAGAUGUGGUUUGGCUGAGAGUUAAACCCAAGAGAACAUUGAGCUGAACUGAGUUUAUAUUCAUUUCAUCCAACAACAGUAAUGACUAAACUUUUGUUGAAAUGUCAUAAACAUUAAAUAUUAAGUAUUAUUUAAAAUUUAGUGUGU